GGAGAGAUGGCUGAGUGGUUGAUAGCUCCGGUCUUGAAAACCGGUAUAGUUCUAGGAACUAUCGAGGGUUCGAAUCCCUCUCUCUCCUUUUGCUUUCCUCUCUCUCUCCU
Molecule: transfer RNA, 110 nt
Filed under: Oryza latifolia
Lineage: Eukaryota; Viridiplantae; Streptophyta; Magnoliopsida; Poales; Poaceae
Also listed under: 7 other names
Description: tRNA-Ser
Rfam family: tRNA (bases 1-88)
About the family: Transfer RNA (tRNA) molecules are approximately 80 nucleotides in length. Their secondary structure includes four short double-helical elements and three loops (D, anti-codon, and T loops). Further hydrogen bonds mediate the characteristic L-shaped molecular structure. tRNAs have two regions of fundamental functional importance: the anti-codon, which is responsible for specific mRNA codon recognition, and the 3' end, to which the tRNAs corresponding amino acid is attached (by aminoacyl-tRNA synthetases). tRNAs cope with the degeneracy of the genetic code in two manners: having more than one tRNA (with a specific anti-codon) for a particular amino acid; and 'wobble' base-pairing, i.e. permitting non-standard base-pairing at the 3rd anti-codon position.
Source: RNAcentral